GACGUAGGGCGCGAGCGUUGUCCGGAUUUAUUGGGCGUAAAGCGCUCGCAGGUGGUUCGUUGCGUCGUGCGUGAAAGACCCCGGCUCAACUGGGGGAUGUCGUGCGAUACGGGCGGACUGGAGGCCAGUAGGGGGAUGCGGAAUUCCGGGUGUAGUGGUGGAAUGCGUAGAGAUCCGGAGGAACACCAGCGGCGAAGGCGGCAUCCUGGACUGGUCCUGACACUCAGGAGCGAAAGCGUGGGGAGCGAUCCGG
RNAcentral lists this ribosomal RNA (253 nucleotides) under uncultured bacterium. Its description in RNAcentral is "partial 16S ribosomal RNA". It matches the Rfam family "Bacterial small subunit ribosomal RNA", at positions 524 to 776 of the family's 1533-position model. The record is from RNAcentral.